AAUGGGGGCAACCCUGAUCCAGCAAUGCCGCGUGUGUGAUGAAGGCCUUAGGGUUGUAAAGCACUUUCACUGGUGAAGAUUAUGACGGUAACCAGAGAAGAAGCCCCGGCUAACUUCGUGCCAGCAGCCGCGGUAAUACGAAGGGGGCGAGCGUUGUUCGGAAUUACUGGGCGUAAAGGGAGCGCAGGCGGUUCAUUUAGUCAGACGUGAAAGCCCCGGGCUCAACCCGGGAGGUGCGUUUGAUACUGGUGAGCUAGAAAUCAGAAGAGGAUAGUGGAAUUCCCAGUGUAGAGGUGAAAUUCGUAGAUAUUGGGAAGAACACCAGUGGCGAAAGCGGCUAUCUGGUCUGUAUUUGACGCUGAGGCUCGAAAGCGUGGGGAGCAAACAGGAUU
Molecule: ribosomal RNA, 392 nt
Filed under: uncultured Gammaproteobacteria bacterium
Lineage: Bacteria; Pseudomonadati; Pseudomonadota; Gammaproteobacteria
Description: bacterial SSU rRNA
Rfam family: Bacterial small subunit ribosomal RNA
Source: RNAcentral